This 452-nucleotide long non-coding RNA is filed under the name Capsicum annuum. RNAcentral describes it as "long non-coding RNA (CANN_LNC001578)". Lineage: Eukaryota; Viridiplantae; Streptophyta; Magnoliopsida; Solanales; Solanaceae. The record is from RNAcentral.
GAAUGAUUAGCAUCAUUAAGAAGAUUUCAAUUAUCACUUACAUUUCAGUAAAAAUUAAACUAAUAAUGUUACGCAACAUUGAAUGAAAAGGCUACCUGUAAAGAGUAAUAUUGGAACAUAAACCAAGUAAAAAUAUAUGAACAAAGAAAGUUGACAAUUAUCUGUUUGAUGUCAUUCAUGGGUCGAAGGUGGUUGCGGUGGCUUCGUCAUUUUAUCCACCACUGUUUUCAUGUAACUUAUAAGCAGCUCCUACUUUCGGCCAAAACUCUCCAUACCUAUAUUCAUUGCAUCAACCUAUUUUCUGACCUCAAUCAUCUGUGAACACAGCGACAAGAGUUGAUUAUGGGCAGUUGAUUAUGGGGAGCCAAAAAGUGUUUGGUGGUGAAAGGGGCUCCGGGAUUGGAAGUUGCGGAAUUAUUUUCUUGGGAGCUCAUUUUAAGUAUAAAUUUUUG